UGAGUGGGUGGGUGGGAUAUGGACGGACGGACGGAGAGACGCAUGGAUGAGUGGGUGGGAUGCACGGGAAGAGCUUGGCGGAGCUCAGCUGCGGCCCGGCAAGUGUCUACGAACAGCGGCCCAGCAUCCUGUCAGCUCACCAACGCCAGAGUGUCUGGCCUGACAAGCCAGCCGGGCUGCGGAUGUCGCCCCUGAGGACCAGGCGCUGAGCCUCUAGCACCACCCCAGGUGCCCCCUCGCUCAGCCGCCCUGCCAGAGCAUCACUCCAUGCCAAAGCCCGGGGGCAGACGGCGUUCACAGCUUCAUCCUGCGCUGUGUAGGCACACGGGGCUCGUGAGAGCCCACGGUGACGCUGCCCAGGAGAGCUGAAGAAGUGGGAUGGCCUCUGGGAGCUGGCAGACACACUGUGCACAGGUGGUCUCUGCCAGGCAGGCUCAGAGGCCCCCUAGUGUUGCCCAGUCCCAGCGGACAGGUCCUGUGGGCCAAUCACAGUGGCAUGCAUCAGCCAUACACCAGUGCUGAGCCGACAGUGAACGAUCAGCCCCCAAGAGCCGGGGCCCCGUGGCCAGCAUGUCCUUUCCCUACGGGGCCACUGCAUGGCAAGCCCAGGGCUUCAAGGACAUUCUAGCUUUGCCAGUUCUGGACAUUCCACAGGAAUGGAAUCGUAUGUGUGGCCUUUCCAACCAGCUCUUCACACUUAGCGCCGUGCGUUUGGGUGCUCCCACGGUGUGGCCACGUCAGUGCUUCUGUCCUGUCUGUGACUGGAGAACCUUCCAGAACCGAUAGAUGUUCGGAAGCCUUGCCACAGGACUUCUCCCAGCCUCACUGGGUAGGACUGUCCCAGGCUGGCCUCUGAACCCACCACAGGGAAGGCUGACAGCUCAGCCCGAGCGUGGGCCGUCCUGAGGCACGGGGGUCACCAUCCCCAGGGGCUCUGGCGCUGGGACAGGGGUCAGGGUUUUAAAUGAUUGGUUGUUUGCUGCUGUCCUUCAUGGUGGAGCUGAUAAGAAGGGGAUGGGAAAACGAACGUCAGGAGACGGAUGGCACAGACGGCCGGGACGCAGGGGCGAGGAGCUGGUGUCAAAGAGGGACCCAAGGUUCCUAGGGCCGGCCCUUUCCUGAGGGCCAAGCGGCCCGGGGGAGGGCCCUGGCUCUGCUAGUGCUCAAUGUCUAGGGCCGGAUGUCCCUGCUUCACUGCACAGGGGGUCCCCUCGGAGCUCCUUGACACUCCUGGGGCAGAGAGCCCCGGCCUCCGAGUCGCUGCGCCUCCCUGCUGGGAGCUCUGGGGGGCCAGAGGCCAAGAAGCACCAGCUCAGGCAUUAACCCUUCUGCCGGAACACGGCCUCUGUGCCUCGGACUCUGCCCGGCACUCACGAGGCUCCUGAGAGCACCAGCCAGGGGAGGCCCCACUGCCGGAGGGCUGCACCCCGGGGCGUCACUGCACCUCCUCCCAUCCCGCGUCACCUCCCAGCCCUCUCACUGGGGGCCUGCCUGACCAGUCUCUUCCGGGGUGACAGAUUCAGGGGAGAAGGCCCCGCCUGCCACCCACACCCUUCUUCCCCACCCAGCCUCCCUGCACGGCCCCUGGGCGGAGCCUCCCACCUGCUCCCUCCGCUCUGGAUGCCAGGGGAUUACAGACGGCUUUUCUGGAGAGCCCAGUCUUAAAGGGCAGUUUGCAGGAGAAAAUAAACCACUAAUGGCGGCUUACUGUUGUGCAUUUUCAACUUGUUGCUGGGUGUGGGAAAGGCCCCUGUAGCCU
Long non-coding RNA from Manis javanica (Malayan pangolin), 1759 nucleotides. RefSeq lists it as uncharacterized. The record is from RefSeq and is a predicted model, not a curated record. NCBI's taxonomy places the organism in Eukaryota, Metazoa, Chordata, Mammalia, Pholidota, Manidae.